CCUACGGGAGGCAGCAGUGAGGAAUAUUGGUCAAUGGCCGCAGGGCUGAACCAGCCAAGUCGCGUGAGGGAUGACGGUCCUAUGGAUUGUAAACCUCUUUUGUCAGGGAGCAAAGGGCGCCACGUGUGGCGUUUUGCGAGUACCUGAAGAAAAAGCAUCGGCUAACUCCGUGCCAGCAGCCGCGGUAAUACGGAGGAUGCGAGCGUUAUCCGGAUUUAUUGGGUUUAAAGGGUGCGCAGGCGGAAUGUCAAGUCAGCGGUAAAAUUUCGGGGCUCAACCCCGUCGUGCCGUUGAAACUGGCGGUCUUGAGUGAGCGAGAAGUAUGCGGAAUGCGUGGUGUAGCGGUGAAAUGCAUAGAUAUCACGCAGAACUCCGAUUGCGAAGGCAGCAUACCGGCGCUCAACUGACGCUGAUGCACGAAAGCGUGGGUAUCGAACAGGAUUAGAUACCCGAGUAGUC
This 459-nucleotide ribosomal RNA is filed under the name uncultured bacterium. RNAcentral describes it as "partial 16S ribosomal RNA". It matches the Rfam family "Bacterial small subunit ribosomal RNA", at positions 338 to 795 of the family's 1533-position model. The record is from RNAcentral.